AUGUUUAACAAGUGUCUUUAUGAUGUCACAGGCAAAUGUCAAGCGCACAAGAGUUAGCUUGUCUAU
Ciona intestinalis (vase tunicate) is the source of this 66-nucleotide non-coding RNA. The record is from RefSeq. Lineage: Eukaryota; Metazoa; Chordata; Ascidiacea; Phlebobranchia; Cionidae.